UCCGGUAUGGUGUAGUGGCUAACAUUUGACGCUCUCACGAUCAAGCUUGCUUGGUUACGAAAUCCGUCAAGCCCAGGGUUCGAUUCCCUGUACCGGAG
Molecule: non-coding RNA, 98 nt
Organism: Emericellopsis atlantica
Lineage: Eukaryota; Fungi; Ascomycota; Sordariomycetes; Hypocreales; Bionectriaceae
Source: the annotation of a RefSeq genome assembly